GGGUUGUGAGGUUAAGCGACUAAGCGUACACGGUGGAUGCCCUGGCAGUCAGAGGCGAUGAAGGACGUGCUAAUCUGCGAAAAGCGUCGGUAAGGUGAUAUGAACCGUUAUAACCGGCGAUGUCCGAAUGGGGAAACCCAGUGCAAUUCGUUGCACUAUCGUUAACUGAAUACAUAGGUUAACGAGGCGAACCGGGGGAACUGAAACAUCUAAGUACCCCGAGGAAAAGAAAUCAACCGAGAUUCCCCCAGUAGCGGCGAGCGAACGGGGAGCAGCCCAGAGUCUGAAUCAGCUUGUGUGUUAGUGGAACGGUCUGGAAAGUCCGACGGUACAGGGUGAUAGUCCCGUACACCAAAAUGCACAGGCUGUGAACUCGAAGAGUAGGGCGGGACACGUGGUAUCCUGUCU
RNAcentral lists this ribosomal RNA (408 nucleotides) under Klebsiella pneumoniae. RNAcentral's name for it is "partial 23S ribosomal RNA". It matches the Rfam family "Bacterial large subunit ribosomal RNA", at positions 1 to 439 of the family's 2925-position model. The record is from RNAcentral. Lineage: Bacteria; Pseudomonadati; Pseudomonadota; Gammaproteobacteria; Enterobacterales; Enterobacteriaceae.